This 301-nucleotide ribosomal RNA is filed under the name uncultured bacterium. RNAcentral describes it as "partial 16S ribosomal RNA". It matches the Rfam family "Bacterial small subunit ribosomal RNA", at positions 509 to 807 of the family's 1533-position model. The record is from RNAcentral.
CAGCCGCCGCGGUAAUACGUAGGUGGCAAGCGUUGUCCGGAAUUAUUGGGCGUAAAGGGCUCGCAGGCGGUUUCUUAAGUCUGAUGUGAAAGCCCCCGGCUCAACCGGGGAGGGUCAUUGGAAACUGGGAAACUUGAGUGCAGAAGAGGGGAGUGGAAUUCCACGUGUAGCGGUGAAAUGCGUAGAGAUGUGGAGGAACACCAGUGGCGAAGGCGACUCUCUGGUCUGUAACUGACGCUGAGGCUCGAAAGCGUGGGGAGCAAACAGGAUUAGAUACCCCUGUAGUCCCUGUCUCUUAUAC